AACGAACGCUGGCGGCAUGCCUAACACAUGCAAGUCGAACGAGACCUUCGGGUCUAGUGGCGCACGGGUGCGUAACGCGUGGGAACCUGCCCUUAGGUUCGGAAUAACUCCCCGAAAGGGGUGCUAAUACCGGAUAAUGUCUUCGGACCAAAGAUUUUUCGCCUUUGGAUGGGCCCGCGUUGGAUUAGCUAGUUGGUAGGGUAAAAGCCUACCAAGGCGACGAUCCAUAGCUGGUCUGAGAGGAUGAUCAGCCACACUGGGACUGAGACACGGCCCAGACUCCUUCGGGAGGCAGCAGUGGGGAAUAUUGGAAAAUGGGCGAAAGCCUGAUCCAGCAAUGCCGCGUGAGUGAUGAAGGCCUUAGGGUUGUAAAGCGCUUUUACCCGGGAUGAUAAUGACAGUACCGGGAGAAUAAGCUCCGGCUAACUCCGUG
This 433-nucleotide ribosomal RNA is filed under the name uncultured bacterium. Its description in RNAcentral is "partial 16S ribosomal RNA". It matches the Rfam family "Bacterial small subunit ribosomal RNA", at positions 29 to 507 of the family's 1533-position model. The record is from RNAcentral.